Long non-coding RNA from Drosophila innubila, 723 nucleotides. RefSeq lists it as uncharacterized. The record is from RefSeq and is a predicted model, not a curated record. Lineage: Eukaryota; Metazoa; Arthropoda; Insecta; Diptera; Drosophilidae. The transcript is spliced from 3 exons.
UUUUUGGCUUGUUUUGUUAAAAUGUGUUAUUUGAGUCGCUUUUUGUUUUGCAUUCAUCUUUAUUAUGGCUGCCUUAUCAUUGCCACAUCUGGCGUUCUGCUCUCCAUUGUGGGUCUGUCACUCGUUUUUCUUAAAGUAUUGCCCACAGUUCACGGGGCAUUGUUUUUCUUGGCACUAGUAUUUGUCUCAUUAUAUUUGCUGACGAAAGUGUUGUUGCUGAUUGGUGUUAUAUAUAAUUCUACGUUAUUGGUGCUUUGGUCCUUCAUCAUUGAUCAAGUUACAAUUGUUUAUCCCAUUUGUCUGUUUAUAUGGCAAAUAGCUGUUAGGGAUGCCGUUUUGAAAAUCGUCAUACUCUUUUAUUUUAUUAUAAAGGAACUAUAUGAUGCCUGGAUUGUGCUGUCGUAUUGGCAUGAGAUCAAGACUUCUGACAAACAAUUUCGUGUACACAUAUAAAUAUGUAUGAUGUACGUACGUGUAUGUAACGUACAAAUGUAUAUGUUUGUAUUUACGUGUACGUACGUACAAAUGUAUAUGUUUAUAUAUAUACAUAUGUGAUUGGAGCUCAUGAUAUUGUAAGCAUAACAUAGCGACCAAAUUGUCAGUUAUUUUGGAAAUACAUUGGGUUGGAGAAAAAAAGAAACGUUAUUUUUUCAGGACCAUAGUAAAUUUCAACCGUGGACGCAAUGUCUGUGGACAUUUUCGUUGUAUGAAAUGAAAACUCUA